Molecule: ribosomal RNA, 396 nt
Filed under: uncultured bacterium
Lineage: Bacteria
Description: bacterial SSU rRNA
Rfam family: Bacterial small subunit ribosomal RNA
Source: RNAcentral
AAUCAACGCUGGCGGCGUGCCUAACACAUGCAAGUCGAACGCGAAAGCCCGCAAGGGUAAGUAGAGUGGCGCACGGGUGAGUAACACGUGGACAACCUGCCUUCGAGUGGGGAAUAACCUUCCGAAAGGAGGGCUAAUACCGCAUAACACCUCGGGACACAAGUUCUGGGGUUGAAAAGAGCAAUUUGCUCGAAGAGGGGUCCGCGCCUGAUUAGCUAGUUGGUGAGGUAACGGCUCACCAAGGCUUCGAUCAGUAGCCGUCCUGAGAGGGAGCACGGCCACACUGGAACUGAGACACGGUCCAGACUCCUACGGGAGGCAGCAGUGGGGAAUUUUGGCAAUGGGCGAAAGCCUGACCAAGCAACGCCGCGUGGGUGAUGAAGUAUCUUGGUACGU